UACGUAGGGUGCAGGCGUUAAUCGGAAUUACUGGGCGUAAAGCGUGCGCAGGCGGCUAUGCAAGACAGAUGUGAAAUCCCCGGGCUCAACCUGGGAACCUGCAUUUGUGACUGCAUGGCUAGAGUGCGGCAGGAGGGGGAUGGAAUUCCGCGUGUAGCAGUGAAAUGCGUAGAUAUGCGGAGGAACACCGAUGGCGAAGGCAAUCCCCUGGGCCUGCAACUGACGCUCAUGCACGAAAGCGUGGGGA
RNAcentral lists this ribosomal RNA (247 nucleotides) under uncultured bacterium. RNAcentral's name for it is "partial 16S ribosomal RNA". It matches the Rfam family "Bacterial small subunit ribosomal RNA", at positions 524 to 767 of the family's 1533-position model. The record is from RNAcentral.